This 1129-nucleotide ribosomal RNA is filed under the name uncultured bacterium. RNAcentral describes it as "bacterial SSU rRNA". It matches the Rfam family "Bacterial small subunit ribosomal RNA", at positions 8 to 1185 of the family's 1533-position model. The record is from RNAcentral.
AGAGUUUGAUCCUGGCUCAGAGCGAACGUUAGCGGCACGCCUAACACAUGCAAGUCGCACGAGAAGGGGGCAACCUGAAAGUGGCCCGCACGGGUGCGUAACACGUAGAUAAUCUGCCCUUCGGCGGGGGAUAACGUUCCGAAAGGAGCGCUAAUACCGCAUACAGCUUUUUCUGGUUCGCCAGGGGGGAAGGCAAAGGUUGCCCGCAAGGGCCAAUCGCCGGAGGAGGAGUCUGCGGCCCAUCACGGGUUGGUAAGGUAACGGUUUACCAAGGCUUAGACGGGUAGCUGGUCUGAGAGGAUGAUCAGCCACUGGUACUGGUACACGGACCAGACUCCUACGGGAGGCAGCAGUGGGGAACUUGUGAACUCAAGUCAAUGGGCGCAGCCUGAACCAGCGAUGCCGCGUGAGUGAUGAAGGCCUUCGGGUUGUAAACACCUCUGUGGGAGGGACGAAAGCGCAGGUUCUAACAGGACCUGUUUUGACGGUACCGGGUGAAUAAGCACGGCUAACUCCGUGCCAGCAGCCGCGGUAAUAGCCGGGGUGGAGCGUUGUGGGGGAAUCAUGGCGUAAAGGGCGCGUAGGUGGUCUUAUAAGGGUCUGGUGAAGAGCCCGGGGCUCAACCCGGGUCGGCCGUGCCGACUGUGAGACUAGAGCGUUGCUGUAGGGCAGGCGGAAUUCCCCGGUAGCGGUGGAAUUUGUAGAGAUCCGGACCUUGACCGGUGGCGAAAGCGGCCUGCUGGGAGUUACUGACACUGAGGCGUCGACAGGGGGAGCAAACAGGAUUAGAUACCCUGGUAGCCACGCCGUAAACGAUGGGUACUAGGUGCCGGGGGAGCGACCCCGCUGUUGGGUGCCGGCGCAACGCAGUAAGUACCCCGCCUGGGGAUCGUACGGCCGCAAGGCGGAUGACGGGCCCGCACAGCGGUGGAGCAUGUGUUAGACGCACGCGAGACUUACCUAACAUGAUGCAAACUCUCAGAACGAGAGCUUCUCGGAUCAUGCACAGUGCUGCAUGCUGUCGUCACUCAUUCUGAAUGUGGUAGUUCCGCAACGGGCACCUGUCCUAGUACACGGUAUGCGGACCUAGGAACUGGCGGGUCCAACCGGAGGAAGGUGGGAACGAAGC